This 61-nucleotide transfer RNA is filed under the name Leptynoptera sulfurea. RNAcentral describes it as "tRNA-His". The record is from RNAcentral. Lineage: Eukaryota; Metazoa; Arthropoda; Insecta; Hemiptera; Triozidae.
UUAAAAUAGUUUAAGUAAAAAUAUUGAUUUGUGGAAUCAAAGAUUGUAUAAAUUUUAAUUU